RNAcentral lists this unclassified non-coding RNA (332 nucleotides) under soil metagenome. RNAcentral describes it as "partial contains 5.8S ribosomal RNA, internal transcribed spacer 2, and large subunit ribosomal RNA". The stretch from base 1 to 120 matches the Rfam family "5.8S ribosomal RNA", at positions 35 to 154 of the family's 154-position model. The record is from RNAcentral.
GAUGAAGAACGCAGCGAAAUGCGAUAAGUAAUGCGAAUUGCAGAAUUCCGUGAAUCAUCGAAUCUUUGAACGCACAUUGCGCCCUUUGGUAUUCCUUAGGGCAUGCCUGUUCGAGCGUCAUUUAAACCUUCAAGCUAAGCUUGGUGUUGGGUGACUGUCCGCUUCACGGCGGACUCGCCUCAAAAUUAUUGGCGGCCGGUACAUUGGCUUCGAGCGCAGCAGAAACGCGAACUCGGGCCCGUCGUAUUGGCUCCCAGAAGCUAUCUUCACAAUUUUGACCUCGGAUCAGGUAGGGAUACCCGCUGAACUUAAGCAUAUCAAUAAGCGGAGGA